This is a long non-coding RNA of Acomys russatus (golden spiny mouse), 270 nucleotides long. RefSeq lists it as uncharacterized. NCBI's taxonomy places the organism in Eukaryota, Metazoa, Chordata, Mammalia, Rodentia, Muridae. The transcript has 3 exons. The record is from RefSeq and is a predicted model, not a curated record.
AGAACACAGAUGAGCCCUGAAUACUUACUUCCUGUUUGUCUUCUUUUAAGGCUGUGUGUGACAUCUGCUGUGCUGGCUGCACACAAAGUUUCUUCUCAGCCUUGGAAAAGGCCCCGCACAGGCAAGAGGAAGGAAACCAUAAAUCCUCCACACUGGAAAAGAAAUGUUUACUUUGUAAAGAUAGUGUCCAGAACAGAAGAAAACAACACACAAACUGGAAAGCGUGUUCAUCUAUUCAUGCCGCGUGGACGGGGAGGAGGCUAUCCUUCU